CAGGUGACCUCGAUCAGUAGG
This 21-nucleotide ribosomal RNA is filed under the name Phialocephala cf. fortinii CSP17. RNAcentral describes it as "partial 28S ribosomal RNA". Lineage: Eukaryota; Fungi; Ascomycota; Leotiomycetes; Helotiales; Mollisiaceae. The record is from RNAcentral.